AGAGUUUGAUCCUGGCUCAGAAUCAACGCUGGCGGCGCGCCUAACACAUGCAAGUCGCACGAGAAAGCCGGGGCAACCCGGUGAGUAAAGUGGCGUACGGGUGAGUAACACGUGGGUAACNUACCCUCUGGUGGGGAAUAACCCUGGGAAACCGGGGCUAAUACCGCAUAAGUCCGGGAGGAGAAAGCCGAAAGGCGCCGGAGGAGGGGCCCGCGGCCGAUUAGCUAGUUGGUAGGGUAAUGGCCUACCAAGGCGACGAUCGGUAGCCGGCCUGAGAGGGCACACGNCCACACUGGCACUGAAACACGGGCCAGACUCCUACGGGAGGCAGCAGUGGGGAAUCUUGCACAAUGGGGGAAACCCCUGAUGCAGCGACGCCGCGUGAGCGAUGAAGCCCUUCGGGGUGUAAAGCUCUUUCGGCGGGAACGAUAAUGACGGACCCGCAGAAGA
RNAcentral lists this ribosomal RNA (450 nucleotides) under uncultured bacterium. Its description in RNAcentral is "bacterial SSU rRNA". It matches the Rfam family "Bacterial small subunit ribosomal RNA", at positions 8 to 488 of the family's 1533-position model. The record is from RNAcentral.